GAGUGGCUCAGUGGUAGAUCACUCGCUUGGCACGCAGAAGGAUGCAGGUUCAAUCUCUGGCAUCUCCA
This 68-nucleotide transfer RNA is filed under the name Sphaerodactylus townsendi. RNAcentral's name for it is "tRNA-Ala". Lineage: Eukaryota; Metazoa; Chordata; Lepidosauria; Squamata; Sphaerodactylidae. The record is from RNAcentral.